CGUAUACAUAAAAUUUUAUUUGCCACUCAGCAGAAUAAAAUUUUUGAAGAGUUAUAAAAUAUUCUAAUUUUUAGUAGUACUAAAUAUGCAACGUCAAGACAAAAAAACACGAGGAACUAGAGGAGGUAAACAUGCCAAACAGAAAACGUAGUUUAGAAGGAUGGAAAGUUUUCUUUUGGCAUUGGCACGAGAGUGCACUAAUACAACAACUCUGAAGACUAAUGUUGAAUCCACAAAUUCUUCUGGAGAGAAUGCUCCAACACCAAGCACCAAUCUAUCUCAGAUUCCAUCAAAAGAUAUUUCUUUGGUACAGUCUAGCCAUCUAGAUACUAAUUUAGAAUCAAAAACUUAUUCUAAUGAAGGGAAUGCUCCAAUAUCAAGCUCCAAUCUGUUUGAUCAGAAUCCAUCAACGAGAUCUACUUCUUUGAUACAGAUUAGUCAAUCAUCAAGUAAUUUAUCUUCAACUAAUUCAUAUAAUAACCGUAAAUCCUUUAGAGGAACUCGAGCUGGCAAAAUUACUAAAGAAUAUCACCACGCCAAAAGCUUCUCUAUCUUCUUGUGGAGUUUGUUGAAUGAAUGUCAUUCCAGACAUAAUACAUGAAAUAUUAAACUAAUAAAAACAAUCAUGUUUUUUAUUAUUUUGUAAAAAAACAGUAGUAUUGAGAUAAAAAAAAUUUCAGAAUGGUGUGUUUUCUAAAUCUUUAUAAAAAAAUGUUUGUAAACAAUAAUGUGAAAAAAAUUCUAAAUAUGAGGAAAAAUUGAAAUUAUACUGUAAAAGUAACUUAUCAGCAGUAAUAAAAAAAUCUAAAUACAAAUCAUUAAUAAAGACACUGUAUGUAAGUAGAAAAAAACUAAUUUUGUUUUAAUUAUCGAGCUAAAUUUGAAGGAAAUCGAUAUAGAUAAAAAUAAUACAAAAAAAUACCCACUUUAAGUUUUCAUAGCAAAUUAAAAAAAAAUCACGUGUAUAAGCGGUAU
Phymastichus coffea is the source of this 975-nucleotide long non-coding RNA. RefSeq lists it as uncharacterized. Lineage: Eukaryota; Metazoa; Arthropoda; Insecta; Hymenoptera; Eulophidae. The transcript is spliced from 4 exons. The record is from RefSeq and is a predicted model, not a curated record.